Molecule: ribosomal RNA, 468 nt
Filed under: uncultured bacterium
Lineage: Bacteria
Description: partial 16S ribosomal RNA
Rfam family: Bacterial small subunit ribosomal RNA
Source: RNAcentral
GACGAACGCUGGCGGCGUGCUUAACACAUGCAAGUCGAACGGAAAGGCCUUGCUUUUGUGGGGCGCUCGAGUGGCGAACGGGUGAGUAACACGUGAGUAACCUGCCCUUGACUUUGGGAUAACUUCAGGAAACUGGGGCUAAUACCGGAUAGGAGCUCCUGCUGCAUGGUGGGGGUUGGAAAGUUUCGGCGGUUGGGGAUGGACUCGCGGCUUAUCAGCUUGUUGGUGGGGUAGUGGCUUACCAAGGCUUUGACGGGUAGCCGGCCUGAGAGGGUGACCGGCCACAUUGGGACUGAGAUACGGCCCAGACUCCUACGGGAGGCAGCAGUGGGGAAUAUUGCACAAUGGGCGGAAGCCUGAUGCAGCAACGCCGCGUGCGGGAUGACGGCCUUCGGGUUGUAAACCGCUUUCGCCUGUGACGAAGCGUGAGUGACGGUAAUGGGUAAAGAAGCACCGGCUAACUACGUG